RNAcentral lists this ribosomal RNA (236 nucleotides) under uncultured bacterium. Its description in RNAcentral is "partial 16S ribosomal RNA". It matches the Rfam family "Bacterial small subunit ribosomal RNA", at positions 118 to 354 of the family's 1533-position model. The record is from RNAcentral.
UGAGCAAUCUGCCCUUCUCUUUGGAAUAAGCGUUGGAAACGACGUCUAAUGCCGAAUACGACCUCCUUUCGCAUGAUCGGAGGUGGAAAGCUCCGGCGGAGAAGGAUGGGCUCGCGGCCUAUCAGCUAGUUGGUGUGGGUAAUGGCCCACCAAGGCGACGACGGGUAGCCGGCCUGAGAGGGUGACCGGCCACACUGGGACUGAGACACGGCCCAGACUCCUACGGGAGCAGCAGG